UCAAAAAACAUGGAUAAUCCAGAGGUGCUGAGACAUUUUGCCUCUUUGUGGAGGUGGGAAUGUGGUCUUAUAUUAUCACCAACAUGGGUACCUGAAGUGUUGAUGGAGGAAACCGCUCACAAUGUCUUCGACCAGAACAAGCGGAAAGCAGAUACUCUUGCUGAUUCUGAUCACCCAUCUAAAACCCGAAAAGUCACAGAGUACAUCUCAUCAUCUGCAGCGCCUAAUAUUUUUCUCGAUAACUCGGCUGAAACCAUGUCCAGAUUAUUCCCCAUUCCCACCACCGCUCGUGAAAUGUGUAAGUUGUAUCCCUUGCUCGAAAUUGUUUGACUAUGGUCUGGAUUAGAUUUCAUCUCUAUCAAUCUGCCGUAGUUAAUUUUAAUGGAUCUAUUUUCUAGUAUAAUUUUACUGAUCUGAUGUUUCGUAAUAGUUUUUUUAAUCGUUGUCCGUUUUGACCUCACAGGUCGUGCGACACUUGUCUUCUGGGUCAUUGAGGAUGAAAAUAUGCCUGCAGUUACCGAGUUUUGGUCGAAACAUGACAAAAUCACUUUAGCUCUCCUCAAAGAGGGUUACCGUGGGAGGGUGACAACCAACGGUUACGUUGUUAAUCCGAAAUUGCCAAAAGAACAUUUUUGGAAUGCUUAUGGGGAUCACGGUAUCACAAUCUAUUUGGAUCCAGAAGGUGAUGAAAGUAUAAGAUAUAACAGGAUGUUACUACACCUUCUUUAUUGGGGACGCAUGAUGAAAUCCGAAAGUAAUUUGGUGGUACUCUCAAGAAACCAAAACUUCGGACAAGGCACCAAGUUCGACCGUGUACGUGAGACUUUGGAAGAGUUAAGUAUCAAAGUUGCCGUAUUAAAUCCUGAUAAAGUCGAUGACUAUGUUCUCGACCAAGACGGCCUCUUGCUCUCAUGAUGGGACUAAUGUACGGCCUCUUGAUCUCAUGAUGGGACUAAUGUUAAUUUCAAUGCUUUUAUGAUGGGAGUAAAAAUAUUAUUAGGACAUCUUUUGCUUUUAAAUUGUGUGUACAAGACUAUUCUCGAAUCAAAAACUCAUAUAUAUAACCUUUGUUUUUGCAUCAUAUAUGUUACUUGCCAUCUUCUUCUGGUUUCUUGAAAUUCGAUCCUUAGCUGCUUUGUUUUUGUAGUUUUAACUUAAGAGCUAGCUUCUUAAUCUUGUUCAUAGGAACACAAAAUUAUAUCAACUAGCAAAAUAGCAAAACCUCUGUUUUCAAGCUUACCACUAUUUAGUACUAAAACAUCACUAAAUGAAACAAGAUUCUUCAGAUACAUAAUAGUACAAAGUUGUUAUAAUAAAAAAAACAACUAAAACUUAGUCGAAAUUGUUUGUCUAUGAUCUGGAUUAGCUUUCAUCUGGUCGAUCUGUCAUUAGUAAACUAGCGUAUAUCUAAUCGUCGAUCUGCCAUAGUAAAUCCCUUAAUUAUAACUUAUUUUAUUCACGAUCUGAAUUUUUUUUCCGUCUCGUAAUUGUUUAAUCCUGAAACCUGGCAGAUGCUGACGCAUGCAUCUUUUGGGACAUGGGGAGUUACCCAAUCCCUAAUGGUGUGGAUCCUUGUUUUGUACUAAAGAAAAUCAAAUCAGAGCUCGCGGAUAUAGGUUGUAGUGUGGAUGUGUCAAUCCACGCUUACGGUAAUAAUGAUACAUUCUCGGAUGGUGAAUUACUAUCUAAAUUUUCAGCUGCCGAAAUCAAAUUCGAUCUCUUACCCGAAGGUGAUAUUAUUCUCCUUCUCUGUUUAUUUUUUUGACAUAUACAUGUCGUCCCUAAUCUAGAUCUCUGUUGAUGUACUUUCCAGGAGAUAAAGACGCGGGAAUUUAUUCCAUGUUAGUGGACAUGUUCCAAUGGGCACUGAAAAGUUCUUCAACAAGAAAUUUGAUUGUCCUCUCAAAAAACAUGGAUAAUCCAGACGUGCUGAAACAUUUUGACUCUUUGUGGAGGUGGAAAUGUGGUCUUAUAUUAUCACCAACAUGGGUACCUGAAGUGUUGAUGGAGGAAACCACUCACAACGUCUUUGACCAGAACAAGCGGAAAGCAGAUACUCUUGCUGAUUCUGAUCACCCAUCUAAAACCCGUAAAGUCACAACAGAGUACAUCUCAUCAUCUGCAGAGCGUGAUUUUUUUCUCGAUAACUCGGUCGAUAACUCGGCUGAAAACCAUGUCCAGAUUAUUCCCCAUUCCCACCACCGCUCGUGAAAUGUGUAAGUUGUAUCCCUUGCUCGAAAUUGUUUGACUAUGGUCUGGAUUCAUCUCUAUCAAUCUGCCAUAGUUAAUUUUAAUGGAUCUAUUUUCUAGUAUAAUUUUACUGAUCUGAUGUUUCGUAAUAGUUUUUUUAAUCGUUGUCCGUUUUGACCUCACAGGUCGUGAGACACUUGUCCUCUGGGUCAUUGAGGAUGUAAAUUUGCCUGCAGUUACCGAGUUUUGGUCGAAACAUGACGAAAUCACUUAUGCUCUCCUCAAAGAGGGUUACCGUGGGAAGGUGAGAAUCCAGGGUUACGUUGUUAAUCCGAAAUUGCCAAAACGAUAUUUUAGGGAUGCUUAUGGGGAUCACGGUAUCACAAUCUAUUUGAAUCCAGAAGAAGGUGAUGAAAGUAUAAGAUAUAACAGGAUGUUACUACACCUUCUUUAUUGGGCACACAUGAUGGAAUCCCAAAGUAAUUUGGUGGUACUCUCAAGAAACCAAAACUUCGGACAAGGCACCAAGUUCGACCGUGUACGUGAGACUUUGGAAGAGUUAAGUAUCAAAGUUGCCGUAUUAAAUCCUGAUAAAAGUCGAUGACUAUGUUCUCGACCAAGACGGCCUCUUGCUCUCAUGAUGGGACUAAUGUUAAUUUCAAUGCUUUUAUGAUGGGAGUAAAAAUAUUAUUAGGACAUCUUUUGCUUUUAAAUUGUGUGUACAAGACUAUUCUCGAAUCAAAAACUCAUAUAUAUAACCUUUGUUUUUGCAUCAUAUAUGUUACUUGCCAUCUUCUUCUGGUUUCUUGAAAUUCGAUCCUUAGCUGCUUUGUUUUUGUAGUUUUAACUUAAGAGCUAGCUUCUUAAUCUUGUUCAUAGGAACACAAAAUUAUAUCAACUAGCAAAAUAGCAAAACCUCUGUUUUCAAGCUUACCACUAUUUAGUACUAAAACAUCACUAAAUGAAACAAGAUUCUUCAGAUACAUACUAUUCUUGACAAAAUCUAUAUUCCACACAUAACUCCAGAAUCUUACGAAAUCUAAAACAUUUGCAUAUGUAUAACACUAAAAACCAGAAGAAGAGGAUUUGAUUACAACACAAACUCACCUUCUUCAAUGAAGACAGACAAACCAAAAUCAGUAGCUUUAAGCAUAGCAUUCUCAUCAGUACUAGCAAGCAAGAAAAUAGUAUCCAGUUUAAGUCACCUUCUUCAAUGAACAACACAAAUAGUAUCCAGUUUAAGUCAGCAACUCUUUUGCAUGGUCGUAGAAAAUGUUGGCUAUCUAAUUAAUUUUAAGUUCCUCUAUCAAGGCUUUUCGAUUUAUCAGUCAUUGGACUGGAAGAAGUUCCCUUGUGUUGGCAGUGUGAUACCACUUCUCAUCAUGGCACAAAAUUCUUCAUAGUUUAUUCUUCCAUCCUGCAAAAGAGACCCAUUAAUCUCAAUCUUGGCUUAAGACUUGUUCAUAAUUUGUUUGAUGCUAUGUAGAGGGAAAACAAAACUUACAUUAUCUGUAUCGACUUCCGCUAUGACUUCUUUGAUGCUAGCUUCAUCUCCCAUACCAUAUUCUUUCAUGGCUGACUCCAACUCAUCCAUUGUGAUAAACCUGUGUUAAGAGAAAUCCAAAUUGGUUUCUUAAAGUAGCUCCAGUCUAUAUUUACAUUGUUCCUCAAGGGACCAAACUUACCAGCUGUUGUCUUUGUCGAAGUAUUGGAAGGCUUUGAAUACGUGUUCAUCUCGAUCAAAUCUGUAUCUAUGCAUCGUCGCUGAGAUAAACUCGAUGUAGUCUAUUGUUCCAUUACCAUCUACAUCAGCCUGAAACAUAUAUAAAAUAAGGCUAUAUAUUCAGGCUCCAUCUUUUUUUAGAAGAAUAAGAAACAUUAGAAGCAGAGCAAAGAGGAUGGCAAUACUUACGGCUUCCAUGAGUUGCUUCACUUCAGCUUCAGUGAGUUUAGAGCCAAGUUUAGCCAGCCCGGUUUUCAGUUCUUCGUAAGUAAUUGUUCCGCUUUUAUCGGUAUCCAUAUUCGCAAACAUUGUUUUAAGACCUUUAAUUUCCUCUUCCGAGAGACUCUCUGCAAUAACCUAGCAAUAUCAGAAGCACAAGCAAUGAUUAGCCAAAACAAAAGAGAAUGUGCAACUUGCAGAAGAAACGUUUGUAGUUUUUACCUUAAGAGCUAGCUUCUUAAGUUUGUUCAUUGCUCGAAAUUGCUUCAUUCGGGAUAACACAGCACUAUCAAUAUGCUUAUCCUCCUCUUAUCCAAGGAUGUUCUAAAAAAAGCACCACAAGGAUCACUACAGAUUAGUAAAGCACUGAAAAGUAAGUUGACUACAAAACAGCACUUUAGAGAGACCAAAGGGAAUUUACCAAGAGCUUGUGCCGCUGAGAUUCGUUGCUUAGGGUCCUUAGUAAGCAACUUCCUCACAAGGUCUUUAGCACUCUCAGAUAUAGAAGGCCAUGGUUGACUCUCAAAAUCAAUUUCGCCCUUUAUAAUCUCAUCAAAUAUCCCCUUCUCAGUUUCUACAAUGUAACACAACAACAACAAGAAUAGAAAACAUAUAAAUCACAUAGUUAAGUGGAUAAACAAAUCGAAGACUUUGUCUGCUUUUAUUACAUUGUAAACCACAAAGCAAUAUGUAUAGAACAAUCCCUGCACUCCAAAUAUCGAUUUCUUUUCCAUAACUUCGUCUUAAUACUUCAGGAGCAACAUAGUAAGCACUUCCUACUAUACCUCUGUAAACUUUUCCUGCAAUUUUUGUUUUACGGUUUAGAAACAAAACACAUCAAGCAUAUGAACACAAGAUUAUAUCAACUAACUAAACUGGCAUAAUUUGACAAAUAAGAAAUGGAAAAGAACACACAAGUUCUAUAAUAAUCCAUUUACACACAUUCUCAAGUUCACACAAAACUAGCAAACCUCUGUUUUCAAGCUUACCACUAUUUACUAAAACAUCACUAAAUGUAACAAGAUUCUUAAGAUACAUACUGUUCUUGACAAAAUCUAUAUCCACAACAUAACUCCAACAUUCAUCAGAAUCUUAAGAAAUCUAAAACAUUUUCAUAUAUAACUAACAAGCAGAAGAAGAGGAUUUGAUUACGCAGACAAACCAAAAUCAGUAGCUUUAAGCAUAUGAAGCAGGCAAAGAGGAUCACAAUACUCACGGCUUCCAUGAGUUGCUUCACUUCAGCUUCAGUUAGUUUAGAGCCGAGUUUAGCCAACCCGGUUUUCAGUUCUUCGUAACUGAUUGUGCCGCUUUUAUCGGUAUCCAUAUUCGUAAACAUGGUUUUAAGACCUUUAAUUUCCUCUUCCGAGAGACUUUCUGCAAUAACCUGUAAAACAAAAUCAGAAGCACAACCAAUGAUUAGCCAAAACAAAAGAGAAUAUGCAACUUGCAGAAGAAACGUUUGUAGUUUUUACCUUAAGAGCUAGCUUCUUAAGCUUGUUCACUGCUCGGAAUUGCUUCAUGCGAGAUAACACAGCACUAUCGAUAGGCUUGUCUGGCGCUUCUCCUCCUCUAAUCCAAGGAUGUUCUGAAAGAAAACCCACAAGGAUCUCUACAGAUUAGUAAAACAUUGCAAAAUAAGAUGAGCGCACUUGGAGAGACCAAAGGGACUUUACCAAGAGCUUGUGCCGCUGAGAUUCGUAGCUUAGGGUCCUUAGUAAGCAACUUCCUCACUAGGUCUUUAGCACUCUCAGAUAUAGAAGGCCAUGGUUGGCUCUGAAAAUCAAUUUCUCCCUUUAUAAUCUCAUCAAAUAUCCCCUUCUCAGUUUCUACAAUGUACCAACAACAACAACACACAUAAACAACAUAACUAAAAGGAUAAACCAAAUCAAACAAUUGGUCAGAUUUUAUUACCAGCCCAAAAAGGAGGCACACCACAAAGCAAGAUGUAUAGAAUAAUCCCUGCACUCCAAAUAUCGAUUUCCUUUCCAUAACUUCGCCUUAAUACUUCAGGAGCAACAUAGUAAGCACUUCCUACUAUAUCCCUGUAAACUUUCCCUGCAAUUUUUGUUUUACAGUUUAGAAACAAAACACAUCAAGCAUAUGAACACAAGAUUAUAUCAACUAACUAAACUGGCAUAAUUUGACAAAUAAGAAAAGAAAAAGAACACACAAGUCCUAUAAUAACCCAUUAACACACAUUCUCAAAUUAAUACAAAACUAGCAAAACCUCUGUUUUCAAGCUUACCACUAUCUACUAAAACAUCACUAAAUGAAACAAGACUCUUAAGAUACAUACUAUUCUUGACAAAAUCUAUAUCCACAACACAACUCCAGAACCUUAAGAAAUCUAAAACAUUUGCGUAUGCAUAACACUAAAAACCAGAAGAAGAGGAUUUGAUUACACAAACUUACCUACUUCAGUGAACACAGACAAUCCAAAAUCAGUAGCUUUAAGCAUAUGAAGCAAGCGAAGAGGAUCACAAUACUCAAACAUCACUAAAUGAAACAAGACUCUUAAGAUACAUACUAUUCUUGACCAAAUCUAUAUCCACAACACAACUCCAGAAUCUUAAGAAAUCUAAAACAUUUGCAUAUGUAUAACACUAAAAACCAGAAUAAGAGGAUUUGAUUACACAAACUUACCUUCUUCAAUGAACACAGACAAUCCAAAAUCAGUAGCUUUAAGCAUAGCAUUCUCAUCAGUACUACUAGCUAGCAAGAAAUUCUCAGGCUUAAGAUCACGAUGUAUCACUCCCAUGAAAUGGCAAAUCUGAACAACAUUCAAAAUCGAUCUAAUAACACCAGCAGCUGCUUUCUCAGAGCAGUUGAUUUUCCAAUACCAUUUGUUCCAACCAACCCUAGCACCUGCCCCGGCCUUGGAACUGGGAGCCUGGAAGUAAAGACAGAGUUUCCAUUGUCUUAACACUACAAGAGGGGUAGAAUAUUCAGGAAAAUAAUAAGAUAAACGAACAUGUGAAACUUAAAAGUGUUUGGCCCAUAUCUUUCUCUAAGUCUCUUGGAAGAUUGAUAAUCUGAAUAGCUUCAAACGAGCAUUUCUACAAUUGUGCAACAGCAGAGUAGUACAUUCAGCGUCCCCGUAAUGGGGACAAUUCCAGAGGCAUAUUCGAAAUUGGAAAGAGCCUAUGCAUACAUACACCUUCACACAAAUACCGCAACCAAUGCACAAAUCCUCUGAGAUAAAAGCAUGCUUGGAACCAAUAGUCACCUCAAUACAAAGUUUUCCUGAGAUAAAAGGCAAGUUAAUGCAUAAGUGGCCCUAAAAAUUUGUAGAGCUACAACAAAAAGUCAAACUUCAAGUACGACUAUAAGCUAAUGGCUUCACAUAAACACCUAACCAUCCUCUGUGUACUAAUUGGCAUGACGCACAUGACAUAGCUGAUCAAUUACAGUACAGCAAUAAUAAACCCAUAUGAAAGACCACAAAUUAAAAUUGGGAAUCAGAAUAUACACCUGUCUUGACCACAGGACAACUCUUCUUGCACUCUUGGCGAAAUUUAUUUGGCUAGCAACAGUCAGAACUCACAAUAGCAAUACGUGUCAAUCGACCUGCCAUCUGUCAACAGACCUACAAAAUACAUGAAAUCAUAUAGUUUAACUGCCUGAGGAAGAUACAACAUAUUCAUACACAAUUUGAUAAAAGAACACAACUGCUUUUAUUCCUACAGAACCCAUUUCUUUACGCAGGAUCAUGAACACCAAUCUAUUAACAAGUAUCACUUCUAUGGAAACUAAACAAAUCGAUUUAAAUAUACCAAAUGUAGACGUUACGCUUAGGCAAAGGAACGAAAUGAACUACAUAGGAAAGUAGCACAAAAAGAAUAUCCAAAGACAAUCCACUUACAAUCAGAGCCAGUAAUAAUAACUUGAGUACCCCCAAGAUACUAACAAUGAUGAAAUAAUAGUUGACCUGCAAAAUCUUAGAAGCAAGAUAUCUGCAAAUUCAAGCUCAAAAACCGCAAAUUGAAAGCUUCGAAUAAAAAAAGGUGAACCGACUUUAUGAAUUCCAAAACGUCAUAUGACUAGGUAUUCAGUUUGCAUCAAUGAGAUCAGCUAACUCGACAAGGAUAAAUCCUAACUACAACAGUCAAACCAGAGCUACAACAAAAAAAAGAUACCUAACACAUUUUCCUAGUAUUAAAACUGAUACCAAACACAUUUUCCCGCUAAUUCACUUCUUCUUAUUCACUGGCGGCCAUAUUGGUCUUGCGUUUCCAUCUGGCAUCUUCCCCCAAUCCCACACGUAGUUUCCAGUGCGAGUAAAUGCUUCAUUCGUCUUGCCGAGUAUGGCUAAGAACACAAUGUAAUUUUUUGCUUUCAGGAACUCCAUGGAGAGUUUAAAAUCGGCAUCUCUCGAAACGAGAAGGACAAAGUUUGAUGGUGAACCGUUGAGUACGUGGCGUUGGAGUUGUUGGAGGAUCAUACGAUCAGCUACCUCCCUAAGUCGCAUGUAGUAAUCUCCAAAAUCCCCCACUUCGCGGUCACCGUUACAGACAGAGCAAUAACGACCGGUUAUAACAGAAUCUUCCAUAUGAAAACCCAUAUCAUCAAGUUCGUCUUCAUGAUCGUAAACAAAAUCCAGAUUCGUGUUACCAGCUCCGUACUUUCGUUUUGCCAAAUGUAACUUAGGAUGUAAUGUUUUUAGAGACGAAUUGAUGUUUGCCUCUAACUGGGCCACUUGAUCAGACCUGAUUGGGGAAUUCUCGAAGUCCCAUAGAAAAGGUACUUCGAAACGUGGAUCCACUUCGGCUGAAAUAAAAGAUAAAAAAAUUGUUAGCAUGCUUCUGAAAGUAGCUUUUUGGUUUGUGGUUCUAUGCUAUCUAUCACAUACCUUCAGAUUGAAGGUCCUUCUUUUUCUCUGGUGGUUGGAUGGGGGGAAUAUUUGGUCGUGGGCGGCUGAGAAUUUGAGCAUACGUAGCUAAAAUCCCAGAAAAACAAGAACAUCAGCAUAAGAAGUUGUAUCUAUACCACAAUCUACUUAUAAAAGUAGCCAUUCACACACCUUUUUCAGGAGAUCCCAUUGAUGCUCGUGCUGUAGGGCAAACAACAGGUGUUCUGUUAGAGUUAGCGAAACAACAGCUGCAAGUAAAAACAAUGUUUUCAGAAACAUUAAUAGAGAACCUCUGAAUUUGGUGAAAGAUCGGAUUCAGAUAUGGAAAUCAACAUUGCUAGUCUAGAACUGGUAUCUAGACCAAAUUAGAAACUUCUACGAAACCUAAAAAAGAAUGUCAUGACACAAUAAUGCCAAGAUCUUAUUAUCAGUUUGACAAGAGAAACCUUCCAGCUCAAUUUACUAAUUCUCUAUUCCAGAUUUGUCUGCUCUUCUGACAUUAGAGUUGCUAAGUGACGAACUAUUCCUGAUCAUUGUGUUGCAAAAGAUCACACCAAGUUUGAAUUGAACGACGUGAAGCAUAGCAAUAAGAGGGUUCCGUUUUGCAAUUCAUCAAGAAACAACAUUCAUGAGCAAAUUUCGAUACCACCCAAGAGAAAAUUCAACCGAAAAAAGACAAAAUGGAGCUGAAAUUGAAACCAGAGAUACAGAGAAAACUCAACAAAGUAAGCUAAAACGCGAACCUAAACGAAGCAGUAACGUGAAAAUGGGCAGAGAAUGAGGCAAAUCAAUGUUGAAGAAGAUAACUUUCGACGGGAUUUUGGGCGGGGAGAAGAAAGGCUCGGAGAGUGGAUGACUAGCGAGUCCCCGUUGAAACCCUAAUUCUCCGACUGGUCCAACUCAAAGCCAUCUCCGCCGGUCAGAUUUUUAAGAGUCGAGAAAGAUUCUUUCUUGAGAUGGACUAAUGGGCCUCUUAAUUUAAAAUUUGACCCAAGUUUAAGGGAGUAUUCUUUACAUAUGGCCCAAAUUUCUCUUAGUUUAAACUAUGGCCCAAACGAAAUUGUCAAUCAAUAAAAUCUUUUUUUUUUUUGUGCAAAUCAAUAAAAUCUAACAUUGCGACUUUCUUUAGUGUAUUGUAUUGUACAAUCUGCAAUUCUGCAUAGUAGAAGUGCACUUUAUUUUGUGAUGGGAGACAAAGAAUAUGCAUGCAAAAAAAAAAAAAAAAAAAAAAAAAAAAAGAAAAGAAUAUGCAUGCACUAACUCCAAAUCCACCAUCUAGACGGAAUAUUUAAUGACCAAAAGCAGUGUUUGUUUUUCUCUUUUGUUAGUCUUUCUUAUUAGAUACUAGAUAGAGAAAGAAAGAAAGAAAGAAAAAUAUAAGACUCGUAGUUCUAUAUAUUCUACGAGUAGCAGAUUGGACUAAUUCUCUCCAAAAAAAAAAAAAAAAAAAAAAAAGAGAUAUGAUGAUACUUCAUUUCACGGGAUUCCAUUUGUUUGUUUUUUUUGGUUAUGGUGGAUUCUAUUUCUAAAUUUACUAUCUAUCCACUAUAAAACGAAAAUAUCAGAUAAAUAAAUCCAUAUUUUCUCAUAAAUAUCCUUCUAAGACACUAUCUGUAUAAACAUUUUAUUAGAUAACAACCAUGAAAAUCGUAUAAAACCAAAAUAAGAGACAAUUUAUUCAAGAAGCCAGUUUACCUAGUUAUAUCAAAGGGGCCAAUCAGGAUCUAUUGUAAACUAUAUCCAAUUAGUCUCAUUGUCAUGGAAAAAGGUUUGAUUUAAUUUGACGAUUAAAAAAAAAAAAAAAAACGGUAUAAGAAUAUUUUUGGCUAUAUAUAGGCUAGGACAAGCUCCAUAUGAAUUGAUUUGAACUUACGAAAUAUUUGUGAUGUACUGUGAUGUGUUUCAAGUUCUACCAAGUCUAGGAACAUAAACAGUAUUACUAUAAAUUUUAGAUUAGGGAUCCUAAUUUGUGGUCACAACAUAGGUAUGAAUAUAUAUAUUUAGAAAUCUAGCUUUCAUAUAUAUACCAAUGUUUUAACAUAAAAAUAAGUAGACUGAAUAAGAGAAUUUAGAAGAGCUGAGUUGGUUAUUUCACAUAUAAGUGACUGAAGGGCCUAAAGGCUGAAACUUCUCAUCAAGUUUUCUAAACACCAUUUCGAGCUAGUAAAUUGAAACAUUUUUUAUAUAAAUUAAAAUUCAACAGAAAAAAAAGAAACACAAUUAAGAGCGACCUGUAAAUACUGAAUCCUACUCAUUUCUUAAGGGGUUUAAAUUAUGUGUUAGAAAAAUUAUAACAAAGUAAGAAACUCAUGAACCUCAAAUCAAUCCAUCUUUACCAUGAUUAUAAUUUAGAGUGAUAUAGAAAGAGGUUAUUAGCUUGUGACUUGUGUAGCACGUCAUGAAUUCUUUUGACCCUUGUACUUAGACAAUCAUUAAUAAUCACUUCAUUUCUUUCUGGAUACCAAAAGAAAGUCAUAUCAAUCAAUUAUGAUGGAAAAAACGUCAAGAGAUUACUAUGGAAUUUGCAUAGUUUUUUUUUUUUAACGAUGACAUGAGCUCUGAGCCUUUCUGACACAUACUCCAUUACACCAUGACUGAGAAAAAAUAACAUUAGUAUAACCUCCUCUUGCUUGUUUUUGAGAUGAAAUUUAAAAUUGAGGAUUAAAGAUUUUCGUACCUUACUACAGCAAUAGAAUUUACUUUCUCCAGUUUCUAAAAUGUAUUUUAAGUACUUGAGAGACUGGGAGUAUCCUCGAUUCUUAACUCAGGGCCAUGACAACUUUCUUGGCACCACACAAUGAAAAAACUGGUUCAAUUAUUUAGAACUUAAUGAAAAGUAAUUGCUUCUAUGAACUUUCAUGUAUGAGUAUAUGUUGAUUUUUCAUGAAUGUCCAAUAGCACUAAGCAGAAUGAUGAUGGAAAACAGGCGAGCUUUUCUCCUCUAGCACCAACCACAUGAAUCAUAGAUACAUCAUAAGGAAUAUGUACGCAAUAUUUAUGUAUUUGCCCACUUGGUCAUGUCUUAAGGAAAACUCAGAAACGUCUAAACUCAAGCUUGAGUGUUACAUAUUUUACUUUAAUUCGAAAGAGUGAUAAAUAAGCAGGUCUUGGACCUCAAAUUAAACAUUUUUUUAGCUACAAUAAAGCAAAGUGAAAAGGCCUUUCUUAGGUAAAUAUGGAACUGUAGUGUAAACAUAUAUAUGAGGCAAUGAAAACCAAAAUAAUACAGAAGAUAUAUCGAACCUCUAACUCUUUCUACUAUAUACUCCCUCCGUUUCAUAAUAUAAGUCGUUUUGGAGAAAACAUUUUGUUUCAUAAUAUAAGUCGUUUUCAAGUUUCUAUGCACUUUAUAUAUUACUUUAAUAUUUUAUAAUUAUUUAUAUUAUGCAGUCUCUUUUAUGAUUGGUUGAACUUUUUAAAAGUAGAUCUUCUUAAUCUGCGUGCUUAAAGCUAAAACGACUUAUAUUAUGAAACGGAGGGAGUAGUAUAUACAAUAAUGUUCACAUGAAAAUUAAAUAUCAAGUAAAUAUGGAGACAAUGUCAUCUCCAAUUUAAGAUUCUUUUAAAACUGAAUUUUCUAAAGCCAUAACAGAACAUAACCAAAAAAAAAGAAAAUGGAAGACCUAUAAAAGAUCCAAAAAGUUACCUCAAACAAUAUAGUAUGAUUCUUUUUUAUUGAAAAAUGCAGGCCAAUCGCUCAUUGAACUUGUAACAUAGAGCGACAACAUAGAACCUAUACUGAGGUCCAUCAAAACCAAGCACCUAUCAGAUAAGUGGCCCCGACUUGGAACUAUAACAAUAGACCAGAUAUGUUCUAGUAGGAGAUCGAAUAUAUAUAUAUAAAAAUAUUGUAUGACAUCAUACAUAUGAUUUAAAAGAACAGAACAAAUGUCUGAUUUAAAAAGAGACAUACCCAAAUUUUAUGAUUUCUCCCAGAUCCCUCUAGCUUCAGCCUUCCUCUUUCUUGUAUAUUAACAAUCUUGAAGAAACAGAUAAUAAAUAUUAAUACAUGCAUACGAUAUAUAUGUGGAUGUUAAUGCGCACAUGAUCACACUGAUUUAAGCUGAAGAUGAAAGCCAUAUCAAUGAAGAAGGAAAAACAGAUUCAUACCUAAAAAAUGGGUUCGAUUGUCAAGUUGGAGACAAAAACCUAGCCGUGGUUCAUCGGAUAGGACUGUACAUUGAAGAGAGUCUGGUUGGAGAAGUAGCGUUGAAAUAGAGAGUUAGAUUGGCCUUUGGAGGAGAGAUGAAGCAAAUAAAUGAUAUGAUUAAUUGAUUAUGCAGUAUUAAACGAUUACAACGAAUAAGAGGAAGAGGAGUCGACAUUAUUACGACAAACAUGAAAAUGAAGAUUGUGUGGGAUCAAAUUUUGCCUUUCUCACGUGGCAUAUGGAAGAGAAUUUGUUAGAUGCUGAUCUGGCUAGAUUUAGAAGCUUCGAGUAGCAUCUUUUAUGAUUUCAUUAAUCUCCUAUUUAGUUAUUUAUAUAGAGCUUCUUUAUAUAUUCUAUAUCUAACCCUAUUUAUAGAGCUCCUCUCUUUGUGAAAAAAAAUUCAUGCACUAUAGUUUUUUUAUUUAACACUUUUUUUGGGUAUAACACUUUUUAUUUAACAGUUCCUUCACCUUAAACAAAUUCAUAACUUUAUUUGAUCAUGUCGACCUUCAUUUCGGAUACCAAGCGUUGUCACUUCGUAUGGAUAUUAAAUUAUGUCACUUCGUAUGGAUAUUAAAUUAUAACCUAUAUUUUAUUUUUAUUAAAAUAUGUAUACUAAAUUUUAAUAUUAUUUUGGAAUACGGAAUCUAAAAAUGAUCGUUUACAUAGUAAAAAUAAAUAAUAUCAAAUCAAACUUUGAAGAUGCAAAACAUGGUAGCCUAUCAAAUCGGUUUACUUCAGACGAGGCGUAUGCUAUAUAGACUUGUGUAUGAGAGAACCUCUGAAAGUUCGAAACAAGCAAUAUUGUAUGUAUAGUUUGGAGUUCAAACUUGUUACCAAAUUAAAGUGUAUAAGACACAAAAGUUAUUAUUUAAUAUAAAGUUUUUUAAAAAUAUAUAUAAAGUUAAACACAAUUUGGCCAAUACAAAGUACGAAACUAUUCGGGUACAAGUUGAUAUCAGGAUUUAGACAGUUAGCUAAUUCGAUUUAAUUAACUUUUGAUUAUAAGUAAUUAACCAUUGAUUGAUCCAUCUAUUAUUAUUUUUAAUCACAUUAAUCUUUAAAUAACUUUUCCUUCAAUCGCGUCCUCUUAAUUAUAAUAAGCAACAUGCAUCCACAUGCCUACCGAUCAUGGUUUCACAAUUUGUGUUGCAAUGCUUUAAUUGGGGGUUUUAUAAUAAGAAAAAAAAAGAAGAAAGAAUACGAAAACGUUGUUAUGAAGUAUAAUCAUUUGUAUAUUACUCUACAUCUUUUGUCAACGCGUAUAUAAUACGUAAUUGCGAUUAGUAUAUAAGUCGAUCACAAUAAAUUAAUUAUUAAUACUCAAUAUAUGUAUUAUUGCAAAACUUGAUAAACACUUUAACUCGAUCGUCAUGACUCAUAGGCAAAUCAACUAAAAAGAAUACUUGAUCAGCAGUCAAAAGACUCGUCGUAAUGUUUUUUUUUUUUUUUUUUUUUGACUCGUCGUAAUGUUCUUACUUGUUAUUAGUCAAAUAUUUAUCAAAACAUUGAUAUAAAACAUUUCAAUUUCUUACAAUUCAGUUUAUAACUUUCUAAAGUUAGUUUGACUUUGGUACAUUAUUGAAACUAGAACCAUGACCACCGGUGAUAUUUUUUUGAGUAUCAUUAGCCCAAAAAAUAUUUUAUAAUGGACCAAACCACUAUAUUGGGUCUGAUACGUAUCAGUGUACUGAUACUUGUGAUACUCAAAUUUGUGUGACGUGUCGGUUUUCCAUUGGACCAUAUUUUUUUGGUGAAACAGAGAAAAAAAAAAUCAAUCUCCUCUCAAACUCGCGAUCCGUCUCAAACUCGAUCCAGAGAAAGAAAAAUUCAUUUCCUCCGCCGACCAUCACCGCGAGCUUGAACUGGAAGCAUUUGAAUUUGGAUUAGGAUUUCUCCUCCAUUUUAGUCUCCGGCGGUCUGAUUUCGUUGGAAGAAUUUGAGGUCGGAGCUGGAGAGGGGAUCUAUUGAAUUCGAUGAGAAUUGGUGGGAUAUGGUGAUCGUUAAGACAAAAGGUUCCCAUGGAAUUUUUUAUGGUGGGCUUCUUGUUGCCUUCGCUACUUCUGGCAGGUUGGUUUCUUUCUCUAUCUUCUUUACUUUCACUCAUUUACUCCUUAACAUUGUACCUACUCCAGAUUUUCUUAUAUAGUUGUUCAGUAGAUGUUAAGGUUUAUGAUGUACGAAGAACAAGCUGCUUUAACUGAUUAAGGAGUUGGUUCUGUUCUAGAGAUAUGUUUAUGCCAUCAAGUAAGUAAUUUUGAAUGUGGUAGGGAUCUUCGAAAGAUGAAAGCAGUUUGCUUAAAGCAGUUACAAACGUUCAUACCAUUAUAGAUAAGGAAAUUGCAGGAGAAAUAAAUCCAGAAAAUGUGUAUAUCUGUGGAUUUAGCCAAGGAGGUGAUCUCUCUCUUUGCAUCCCCCGUAGCUACACAUUUCAUGGAUUUACUUACUGAUCUAAGACUCUACAAUGUGUUGAUUUUCUUGCAUUGCGACUUCUGACAUAAGGUUUUCUGCAGGUGCAUUAACCCUGGCUAGUGUUCUUCUUUACCCUAAAGCUCUUGGAGGAGGUUCAGUCUUUAGCGGAUGGAUUCCAUUCAAUAUUUGGAGUUAUGGAUCAAACAACGGAUGCAGAGCUCUUGGUAUUAAAAGGCAACAUUGUACUCAAGGUAACAAUAUCCUAGUGCCUAUCAAGAUUAGAAUAACAUCAGCUCAUCUCUGGUCUAGUUUCUCUAUCAUGAAAACCGGUUUUUUGGUUUAAACGUCUUGUUUGGUUAUGUAAACUGGUACUUUUGUUAACUACAAACAGUUUGUACUUUGCAUUGAUUUGGAAAAUUAUAUGUCAACACUAUAAUUCUUUUAUUUAGUCAACAAAUCAAGUGACUACAUAACUCGAACUGUGAUGUAUUUACAAAUGGAAAAUCUUUUGUCCAAAACAGUAAAAUUUCUUGUCAAAAGUAUGCAAUGUAAAAAUUCUUCUGACCAAAACAAAACUUUCAUACGUUCACUCAAAUUAACAAUUGAUAAUACAUCUAUGUCUGGUAAAUAGCUACCAUUGCCAUCAUAUAAUUUUCUUACAAAUAUUUUGAAAUGGUGUUUCUGUAAUUAUACAAAAUAUUUAUAGUAGAAAAGAAAGACAAAAAAAAUCAUAUCAUAAUAAGUCACCAUAUAAAAACAACCAAAAUAAUCUAUUUUUUUAUUAAUGAUACCGAUACCGGUCUCACCACUGGAAACAGAUUUAUUAGCAGUAUCAUUAAAAAUCUCAAACAAUAAACAAACAUUAAAAUUAAUACUAAAAAAUUCUUAAUGAUACUCUAUGAGUACCAACUAUCUGCAUGCUCUUAGUGUUAAUAAAAUUUGACAAAUACAAUAACAAAUGUAGAAGACACGUUGUUAGGUAUAAUCUGAUGAGCACGAAACCAGAUGUUCAUCAAACACGUACAUCGAUAGGAGAAAGUCAAAAUAGAAAGUCAAUGAGCAUUAAGAAACAUGUAGUUAACGACAAUUAAUGCACUUGAUUAAGAAGAACUUAUUAAUUAUUGAUUUAUCGAAUCAAAUGAUUCAUAUCGAAUUAAACGAAAAAGUGAUCGUUAUUAAUAAUUUCAGGACCAUGAUACAUUGGCAAUGCUUUCGGGUGCGGUAACGGGUACAGUACGGAUCUGGGAGACUUUUUUUUUGUUUGUCGUCAUAAAUUAAUGAUUUAGUUCUAAUUAAUCAUUAGUCAAAUGUUAACCAUUAUGCUUUUGAAAUUUCGGUUUAAUCCCCCAAUUAAAGUAUUAAACCAUUGAUCUAAUUCUCAUUUACGAUUUUAAAUGAAGUACAAUAAUUAAGAGAGUAAAAGCCCAGUAUUUACUACUAAGAUAACUUUAGGCCCAAUAAAAUACCCAAUUCGUAAUUUUACAUACUCCUUCGCCGGCACCGGGAAAUCCGCCGAUGUGAUGGUAAGAAAUAAGAAAUUCUACGAUUUCCCCCGAAAAGCCUAGGACUUUAUUGUUCCGGCCACAUAUUCUACUCUCUAAGGCACUCAAUUUAUCGGCGGAAUUCUCUUUCCGGCUAUUGUUCUUCUAAUUUACAAUUCAGUAAGAGAAAACAUGAGCGACACUUCACGUCCUCUGUCUUGUCUCCGGCUACUCCUAUUGUCCAUAAAGUGUUCGACGAAAAGCCCAAGAUAGAGGAUAGGACUGUGGAGUCGAUUUUUUUGUUCUUACGAGAUGUUCUUAGAUCCUCCAUGAUGAUAACAGAGACAGAGACUCCGAGGAGUGUCCAAGAUUUAACUACAUCUUCGAAGCUUCUGACGCUUUACGCGGGGGACUUAGUGUCUUCUUUGGGCCUAUUUGGUGAAUUGAAAGAUAAAGAUGUGAUUGUUUGGAACAGUAUGAUCACUGGUUCGAAUCAAAAUGGUCAUUACAUUACAUGGCAGCUGUUGGAUUGUUCGUUGAGAUGAUUCAGAAGGGAUAUGAGUUUGAUUCUACGACGCUCUUACUUGCAGCUUCGGCGUUAUCCACGUUACAUCUUUCAAAGAAAUUUCCAAUGGUUCAUUGUUUAGCAAUAGAGACUAGUUUGGUUUCGGAUUCUAGUUUGUGCAAUGCAUUGAUGAUUCUAUAUGCAAAAGGCGAGGACUUGAGCUCCACAGAGUGUGUGUGUGUUCACGCAUAUGGAGCACCGGGACAUUGUUUCUUGGAACACGAUAGUGACUCGAUGUAUUUCAGAUGGGUAUCCCAGGAAAUCGUUGAAAUAUUUCAAGUCGAUGACUGGUUCAGGACAAGAGGCUGAUAGUGUGACUUUUUCAUGCGUUAUCUCAGCUUGCUCUUCUCUUGAAAAACUUCCUUUGGGUGAACCCCUCCACGGGUUGGUUAUAAAAUCAGGUUAUAGUCCAGAAGCUGAGGUCUCUGUGGCCAACUCCAUCAUUUCGAUGUACUCAAAAUGUGAGGACGCCGAGGCGCGGAAACUUUGUUUGAAGAAUUAUUGUGCAAGGAUGUUAUUUCUUGGAAUGCAAUCCUUAAUGGGUUUGCUGCAAAUGGAAUGUUCGAGGAAGCAUUUGGUGUUUUGAAGGAAAUGCAAUCGGUGGAUAAGAUCCAGCCUGAUAUCGCCACCGUGGUUUCAAUAACUUCCAUAUGUGGUGAUUUCUGUUUGUCACGAGAGGGAAGAGCAGUUCAUGGUUAUACGGUUCGCUGGGAGAUGCAAUCCAGAGCUUUAGAGGUAAUAAACAGUGUUAUUGAUAUGUAACGUAAAUGUGGCUUAAAACCUCAGGCUGACUUGUUGUUCAAGACAACAACAGAUCGAGACUUGGUUUCAUGGAACUCGAUAUGAUAUCUGCUUUCGCGCAAAACGGGUUUACACAAGAAGCUAAGAAUCUGUUCAAGGAAGUUUUCAGUGAGUAUUCUUGUGAUUCGUCUGACUCUCUCAUCUUUGGCAAAUCAGUCCACUGUUGGCUGCAAAUGCUAGGGCUUGGGAAUAAUAUCCUUUCGGCUAAUUCAGUAAUAAACAUGUACAUCAGUUGCAGGGACCUUACUUCAGCAUUCCUGCUGUUCGAGUCGAUAUCGGAAACAAGGGAUCUCACAUCUUGGAACUCUGUUAUCGAUGGCUGCGCAUCAAGUGGUCACCAUUCAGAAUCUUUGAGAGCGUUUCAAGCAAUGAGUAUUUUUACCAAAAUAAUUUUUUAGCGUUUGCGUUUUGUAUAUAGACACUUUCAAUUGGUGGAUCAUUAAUUUCGUAAUUACCGCCAUAAAAUCUAGCGUUUCAACAAAUAGCUAGCGUGUCUUUUUUUUUUUUCAACGUCUCUUAUUUUCUGGAUAACCAUGUCUAGAUUGUUUAUGAUAUGGUCUAACCACGACCUACCAAAAUUCAAAUGCACAAGAAAACCUUAAAUAUAAUAAGUAAGAUAUUGAAAAUGUGGAAAUAAAUAUUUCUUCAAAAAAAUUCACUCGAAAAACAUGUCCUAUAUAUGACUAGGUAUUCAUUUUGCAUCAAUGAGAUCAGCCAACUCGACAAGGGUAAAUCCUAACUACAGCAGUCACACCAGAGGUACAACAAAAAAAAAUAUACCUAACACAUUUUCCUAGUGCUAAAACUGAUUUGAGCUUCAAAAAAGAUACCAAACACAUAGAUAAAAUUUAUAAAGAAAUUACAUAGCAAUACAUGGAGAAUAUAAGAUGAAAAUACAUAGAAAUAAAAUUAAAACUUACAUGAAGAAUAAGAUGAAAAUACAUAAAUAUAGGAAAUAUAUAUAUAAUAGGAAAUGAUAUUAGUCUUGUUAAACCCCUGGAAGCGUAAAGUUGUCAAUCUUCAAACCAUUUUGACCGAGUUCCAUAUCUUCCCAAUCCCAGCCAAAGUUCGUGUGUAAUCCAAAAUUUGGAUGUGAAGUACGGCAUUUGUAAGCUAAGAAGAUUAAAUGGUUUCCGCGAAAGAAAUUAUCCAUUGUAGCGUGAAAGCGGUAAUCACUUGUAAUGAAUAGUAUGUUCCGUGGCGGAUGCGGCCGAGGACGGAAUUCGGCGUAUCUCAAAGCAUACGUUUCUAAAAGACAAUCUGCCGCUGGUUCAGUGCUCUUGGCUCUUCUGUGUUGGCUGCACCCAUUGCCUCUCUCAACUGCAUAAAAUGGAUCAAAACCUUGAUUUUUAAGGAUACGUGUACCAGUCGUACCAAAAUUCUUUUUAUCGCCACAAACAAUCCUAGUUGAUGACAGACGCAAUUUGGGAUAAAGCUUGGGGUUGUUCCGAUGUAAGUCGUUUAAGGAGUUUUCUAUAGAGUCAACAAUCUUGGUCAGAUAAUAAUGAUCCGUCACCGGACAAGUGUUGAGGUCCCACAACACGGAUACUUCCUCGUCUGUAAUAAAAAUGAAAUCGUCCCAGAAGAGUUAUAACUCUAUAUUGAUAUAUCAUUGAAAAUCCAGGAGGAGGUAGAGAAAUUAAAACUCUUACCGACAAUUCUUCUCGAAGAUUCUCCGGUGGGGUUGGAGCUGGAGGCCAUGGUGAGUGGAGAAACGGCUGCAGAAUCAAUAAUGGUAGGAAUUUUUAAAUUUUGGCGGAGAACUUGGAUGGGAGACCUUGAGAAUUUAGGGUUACAAUUACAUCUAUAUAAAGGCCAGAGAGUCGUCUCUUCAAAGGAAUCAAAUCGGAGAAGAGAGGUCAUUGAUUGCUUCAAAGGAAUCAAAAGGCCAUGUGAGUUAUCGUACGUAAGAGAAGAAAAUAGACGGUCCAAAUUUAACAUGACCCACUCUUCUUUCUUUGUUCUUUUUUCUUUACAAAAAUAAAUAAAAUAAAUGUAAUAAUUUGGAACCGAUUACAUUAAAGAUAGUCAUGGGACCUUCUUUCAAAUAGCAUCAGUUCACGUUGUUCUGUUUUAGGUUUCGGGUUUGGGUUCAAAACAUUAUAAUUACAAGGUGCUACAAGUUUGAAAUAGUGGGGUCUCAUGAAAAAUUAUAUGAACAUUUUAGCCACCGAUUGACUAUGAUUUAUGCAAAUGAACUCUAUGUAUAUGACGCUAUAAUAUAUUGAAAAUAUAUGAUUUAUCGUUUUAAAGUAAUGUACACCUACAUAAAAAGGAUCAUCAAGGCAUUAAGUCAUGGAACAACUUAAAUAUCCCCAACAAAAGACGUGGAACAUAACAAGACCUGAAAUUUAUUGUUCACUUCCUUGGUGUCGUUUUUUUCUUCCUAUUAGUGCAUGGCUCCUGCAUGCGGAUCUUUUUUUUUUUUUUUUUUGGGGGCAAAGAAAGUGAUAUAUAUUAUAAUUAUUCUUGAUUUUGUUUUAAACUAGUUGUGCCAAGGACAAUGAGAUCGAUAUAUCUAUUACAGUUUUUAUAACUCCUAUUAUUUCAAAAUGUUUUGAAAAACAUUCAAUCGCGGAGAAAUCUCAACCUAAAUGUAAUGAACAAAAUUUAGAACUCAAUUAAUGUUUGUGAAACGAGCAGUCGGUGUCUCGGUGAAAUCAAAUUCAUGGAGAGAUUCCAUGUUGAUGUUGAUGGGAAGGGCUUAUAUAUUGCUAACGUAUUAUUGCUGGGAAAUGAGUGACAGAGAGGUCACUGAUUGAUUUUUGUAAAUAAAAUUUGUAAAAUAUCAAAUUUAAAAAAAAACAAUAAUUAUAUUUAAAGCUUAGACAGAGGACUGGUAAUUUUUUGGUACUAUUUCUACCAAGACCUACCCAAAUUAUUUAUGGUGUCUGAUUCAUGUAAGAAGACAAAAAAACAAUGUACUAUAUGAAAAUUAACUUGCUUUGUCGCAAAGUAGCAUAUGUCUCAAAUCAACCCACAUCCUUCAUUAUAAUUUAAUAACAAUAUUUCCCUUAUUCUGAAUUUUGUAUAUUAAGUUUUUUUUUUUUUUUGUUAAGUUAAUUCUAUACAAAAUAAUGAAAAUCUGAGCAAAAUUUUUAUUUCGUUUAAAGUUUUUUUUUUUAAUCAAAAUUUUUAUUUUGUUUAGAGAAAGUUUUUUCAAUCAGUUCACGUUGUUCUGUUUUAGGUUUCCGCUUUGGGUUCAAAACAUUAUAAUUACAAGGUGCUAAAAUUAAAGUUUGAAAUAGUGGGGUCUCAUGGAAAAUUAUAUGAACAUUUUAGCCACCGAUUGACUAUGAUUUAUGCAAAUGAACUCUAUGUAUAUGACGAUAUAAUAUAUUGGAAAUAUAUGAUUUAUCGUUUUAAAGUAAUGUACACCUACAUAAAAAGGAUCAUGAGAUCGAUAUAUCUAUUACAGUUUUUAUAACUCCUAUUUCAAAAAGUUUUGAAGAACGUUCGAUCACGGAGAAAUCUCGACCUAAAUGAACAAAAUUUAGAGCAGUCGGUGAAAUCAAAUUCAUCGGGAGAUUUCAUGUUGAUGUUGAUGGGAAUGGCCUAUAUAAUUGGUAACGUAUUAUUGCUGGGAAAUGAGAGACAGAGAGGUCAUUGAUUGCUUCAAAGGAAUCAAAAGGCCAUGUGAGUUAUCGUACGUAAGAGAAGAAAAUAGACGGUCCAAAUUUAACAUGACUCACUCUUCUUUCUUUGUUCGUUUUUCUUUACAAAAAUUAUAAAAUAAAUGUAAUAAUUUGGAACCGAUUACAUUAAAGAUAGUCAUGGGACCUUCUUUCAAAUCGUUUUUUAACAUCAGUUCACGUUGAAUCAAAAGUACAAUAGAAGGAGGUUUCAGAAAGCGACAAAACUGUAAUAAUUUCGUAUAUUUAUUUUCGUUUUUUUUUUUUGGUUGUGCAAUAUUAAUUAUGAACUAAAUCAAAUAAAAAUAAAAAGUUAAACGCUUAGACAGAGGACUAGUAAUUGUUUGGUACUAUUUUUUCAAAUACCCUACCAGAAUUAUUGAUGGAAUCUGAUUCUUGCAAGAAGACAAAAUCAAUGUACUAUAUUCAAAAGACUUGCUUUAUGUCUCGAAUCAACCCACAUCCUUCAUUAUAAUUUGAUAACAUUUUCCUCAUUUUGAAUUCUGUAUAUUAAGUUUUUUUUUUUUUGUUUAGCUAGCUAAUUCUAUUAAAAAAAUAUGAAAAUCCGGGCACAUUUUUUAUAUAUCUAAGAAAUUUUUUUUAAUCAAAAUGUUUAGUGUUCAUUUAACCCCUCAAAGUUUAUACACGAUAUACGCACCCUAAAUUCAACAAUAUAUAUAUAUAUAUAUAUAUAUAUAUAUCAACAAUAAUUUUAAAGAAACAAAUACCUAAUUUCUGUAGUGUAGGAGACUAGAAACAAAUAAAACGAGCGAGAGAUUUUGGAAGAAAGAGUUUUAUUUUCUGGCACUAUAGUUUGUCUCAAUCAGAGAGAUUUUGAAGAAAUUGUGUGUUUGGUAGAAGCCUCGGUUUCACUUACAAUAUAAAGCCGCUGAAAACGUAUAGGUUGGACCCACACUUGUUGUCGCUCUAUUAUUUAUUUCGCGUUACAGUGUCUUCAUAUCCAUUUACUCUUUUACCUUAUCUUAUUUACAACGGAAAAAAUACAUCUUUAAAUUGUCUACUUAGAAGAGUGGAUUAUAGAUGAUUGAUGUAUUAUGAGAUCAAAGAGGAUGCAUAGAAUCAAAAAAUAUAUACAAUAAAAAAAACAUGUGAAAGUUAUUUUAAGGAUUCACUUUUCUCUAAUAAUGAUGGAGUUUGUUUUGGUAAUGUACUCUAGAGGUUUCAAAUGCAUCGAUUGAAUAUUUGAAAAGUUUUGUUAUUUGAAGGAUUUAAAAUAGAUCGACCAAUUUUUAAAAGAUUUUUGUUCAUUAAAAUUUAUAAUAUUUGUUUAGUUGUUGUUAGGGUUGAUAUUGGUUAUGUUCUAGUUUAAGAACCUAUAUUAUCUUGCAGCUAGUAAAUUACUUGGUUGUUGAAUAAAGGAAAAAACAAAAAAAGCUUUUCUGAUCAUAAGAAAUUUGAUGUACUACCAUCUUUUUUUUUUUUUUCAAAUUAUUGAAAAGUUAAUUUGAUUGAUCGUUUUAUAUUAGAUAUCCAUUUUAUCACGUUUUUUAAUUUUAUUUUGUUAUUUAAAAGUUAAAACAAACACUGCCUUCUUCUAUGUGUAGGAAAAAUAUACCUUUUUUUUUUUAUUUAACACUUUUUAACAAAUCGAAAAAAGAAAAAUACUGAGUUAGUGGUAUAAUAUUGAAAUGAUCAAAGAAAAUUAAAAGUGACAAGAUUCUAAAUUGUUUGUACAUACUUUAUAUUUCCUACAAAUACCCAACGGGUAAGAGAAAACAGUAAAUGCUUGUGCAUGGAGAGUGUACGGCCAUGACAUCGUCACAGUGUACGUACCAACGAUGACAACGUCUUUUAAUAAUGUGCAAUGGUUUUGUGCAAGCCAAAUAUCGUAAAGAAAGGGCUACAUCAUCUAGCUCCAAAACCAAAGCAAAAACACUUUUAUCAACACUGUAUCAAAGGACAAUGCCAUGAACAAUUUUCGGAGAGAUAGAUACACAAUCUUAGGAAUGAAACUAUACAAUUAAAAUAUACGAUUUUCUUUGGUAUAUAUAUAUAUAUACAUUAUAAGAUAACAAACCAAACUAUCCAUGAAGAUGAGCUGUAAACAAACAUUAAAGAAUAAAAUAAAUAAUUUUUAAAACAAGUUAAAUUUAGAAGAUUAAUAGUAAGGCACAGUUUAAUAAAAUUCUUUUUCUUUUUUUUUGAUGAAAAACACAGUUUAAUAAAAUUCUCCUCGUUAUUUAUUUAUUAUUUUUUAAGAUUGUGAGGAAAAGUUAAGAAAACGUGUGUAAUAUCUAUUUGUAACCUUCCUCCCCCAUUAUAGGAGUUCCUUAUCUAUUGAGUUUUGAGUUUUUUUAUUCAAAGAUUAUUUCAAUAAUAUAAAGGGUAAAUAAUUUUUUGGCGUUAAUUUUGUGAGAAAAUCACGUACUUUACUUUACUUUCAAAACAAUAAAAAAAUCUUAAUUUAAAGCAUCAUAUGAAAAAAUUUCGAGUAUCCUAUACUAUUAUUUGGGGAGUACACUUUAUUAGAUACCCUUAACUAACCUUCUCUUUUGUAAGAAUUUACUUAAUAAUGCCAUUACAAAAAUCUUCUUUUAGAACAAAUUUCAUUCAAUUUAUUAAGGAUAAACAAGUAAAUUAGUAAUUUAUGUUAUUUAAUUAAUUUAAUUAAAUUAUAAAACGAAAAUCUGUUAUUAAUUUUUUUUAAAUGACCAAUCAAAAUGAACAUAUAAGAUUUGAUAUCUAACUUACCAUAUUAAUUUGUUAUUAAUCAUUAAACUUCACCUCUCAUCUUAAUAUGAUUAUAUUAAUAUGAAACAAAUAAAUAAUCAUAUCAUCUACAUAAUAAAAAAAAGUAAUUCUUUUUCUGCAUAUGCCAAGAUUUGAAUUUUUAAAAACGCAUAUAAAUUGUUUAAUCUAUAAAGGAAACAAUUAAACGGGUCAAAAAUUGAGAGUUGAGUAAUAUAUUUCUUUUACACAAAAAUAAAGUCAACAAAAAUUCCGACUGAGCAAAAAAAAUAAAGUCAACAAAAAUUUCGACUGAGCAACGGGUCAGAAUUUGAAUAUUUAUAUUCGAUUUCAUACAUUUAUUUUUUUGAAAUGUAUAAUUUUAUAUACUACAAUAAAAAUUUAAAUAUUUUAAUUUGCAACAUUUAAAAUAAGUUUUACUUGAUAUUUUUAGAGAAUAUCAUUAAUACUUAAUAGUUCAAAAAGUUAAAAAUUAUAAAUGCUCUAAUUUGAUUAUUUUUAAAAAUAUUUAUAAUAGGUAGCGGGUUAAAUAUAAUAUAUUAUACGAUGAAAUGAGUUUUGAUCCUUAUAACUAUUUGAAUAGUUAUAUUUAAUUUCAUAUAAUUUGUUUUUUGAAAUUCAUAAUUUUAUAAACUACAAAAAAAAAUUAAAGAUUUUAAUUUGAAAUAUUUAAAAAUAAUGUAGAACAUUUAAAUAUGGUUUGACACCUCUAAAUAUUUGAAAAUUUGAUUCCGCAAGCAAUUUUAGAAUUAACGAAUAAUAGAUUAUGCACACAAUAUUUUAAAAUGAAAUAUUGAGAUUCUAAAAUAAAAAUAUAGACUCCACGCACGGGUUGAUUUUGGUAUUAUUAUAUACUAAAUAUAUGUUUAUAACAUAUUCGAUUAUGCGAAUAAUUGGUAAAUUCCGUAAUUAUAAAUCUCAAACAAAUUCUGUAAUUAGAUUAGCUUAAACAAAUCUCUAUUUCAACAACCAAAGAAUUAUAAAUUGAAAAAGAAUUUUCUAAAUUAAUUCAAAAUAAUAGCUAAUUUUCUUAAUUAAUUCAAAAUAAUCUAUGUUUUAUAUGCGAUUCAUUUAUGAUAUUUUAAUUUUUGAUCUAACUGAACAUAUGCAAUCCUAUUUUGUGGUUGUUAACAUAAAUUAACUCAUUGUUCAAAAAAUAUUACUUUUUAAAAAAUAAAAUUAUUUUCCGUUUUCAUAUCUUUAAAAAAAAAAUUAUCCAUAAUUGAGUAUUAUAGAAAAAAUUCUAUAUUUAUUCUAAUAUUGUAUAUAGGGACUGACAAAAAAAUUAAUAUUUUUUCACUUACUAUUAUAAUAUAUUAAAACUUAGUUUUAAUAUAUAUAUUAUAUAAAUUUUGUAAUAAAUAAAAUUUAACCCGUACUUUAGUACGGGUGAUGAUCUAGUAAACAUAUAAACCGGAUGGCCAUCUGCUACUGCAACAAUAUAAUCAACACACACAUAUUCCAUGAAAAUGUCAGAUACUAUAUAUAUGCGUAAUUAAAUUAAGAAUGCGUGAUUACUGAUUAAAUUAAGUCGCGGAUAUGCGUGUUUAAAUUAAGAUUGUUAGAUACAAUUGAUUCUAUUAUAUUUUUGCAAUCCUAUCAAAAUGUCAGAUAAUCUAUAUAUAUAUAUAUAUAUAUAUACGUACGUACUAAAAAGAAAAAGAGGUUUAGGAGUGGACAAAAUAUCAUUUAAAUUGUUCAGGAUUUUUUUUUGUUUUUUUUUUUUUUUUUUUGGUAUCAAUGUUAAGUUGAUUUUUAUUUGUUCUUCACUGCUUUAUGGAAAAGGAACUAUGAAUGAAGGAUGCAGCAGAAAGUAUGGAGGUGUCUGGUGAAUACGACAUAUAAAUUCUCUCUCAUGUGACAGGUUGUAUAUAUGUGUACUAUGUUAACCACGUAUUUGCCAAACAUUUAAUGCAAAAUUUAUCUGACACUAAGGCACUAAAUUAAAGUAGGGUAUUACAUAAUAAAGUUUUGUACCUUGGUAGUUGUAUUAUAAUCAUCAUAUUAGAUUAGGGUGUUAAAAGUAGAUAGUACUAAAUUAAAUGCAAAAUUUAUCUGACACUAAGGCACUAAAUUAAAGUAUAUAUGUAUUACAGUUUUUAUAACUCCUAUUAUUUCAAAAUGUUUUGAAAAACGUUCAAUCGCGGAGAAAUCUCAACCUAAAUGUAAUGAACAAAAUUUAGAACUCAAUUAAUGUUUGUGAAACGAGCAGUCGGUGUCUCGGUGAAAUCAAAUUCAUGGAGAGAUUCCAUGUUGAUGUUGAUGGGAAGGGCUUAUAUAUUGCUAACGUAUUAUAGCUGGGAAAUGAGUGACAGAGAGGUCACUGAUUGAUUUUUGUAAAUAAAAUUUGUAAAAUAUUAAAUUUAAAAAAAAACAAUAAUUAUAUUUAAAGGCUUAGACAGAGGACUGGUAAUUUUUUGGUACUAUUUCUACCAAGACCUACCCAAAUUAUUUAUGGUGUCUGAUUCAUAUAAGAAGACAAAAAAUUAAAAACAAUGUACUAUAUGAAAAUUAACUUGCUUUGUCGCAAAGUAGCAUAAAGGCCAGAGAGUCGUCUCUUCAAAGGAAUCAAAUCAGAGAAGAGAGGUCAUUGAUUGCUUCAAAAGAAUCAAAAGGCCAUGUGAGUUAUCGUACGUAAGAGAAGAAAAUAGACAGUCCAAAUUUAAUAUGACUCACUCUUCUUUCUUUGUUCGUUUUUCUUUACAAAAAAAUAUAAAAUAAAUAUAAUAAUUUGGAACCGAUUACAUUAAAGAUAGUCAUGGGAUCUUCUUUCAAAUCGUUUUUUAACAUCAGUUCACGUUGAAUCAAAAGUACAAUAGAAGGAGGUUUCAGAAAGCGACAAAACUGUAAUAAUUUCGUAUAUUUAUUUUCGUUUUUUUUUUUUGGUUGUGCAAUAUUAAUUAUGAACUAAAUCAAAUAAAAAUAAAAAGUUAAACGUUUAGACAGAGGACUAGUAAUUGUUUGGUACUAUUUUUUCAAAUACCCUACCAGAAUUAUUGAUGGAAUCUGAUUCUUGCAAGAAGACAAAAUCAAUGUACUAUAUUCAAAAGACUUGCUUUAUGUCUCGAAUCAACCCACAUCCUUCAUUAUAAUUUGAUAACAUUUUCCUCAUUUUGAAUUCUGUAUAUUAAGUUUUUUUUUUUUGUUUAGCUAGCUAAUUCUAUUAAAAAAAUAUGAAAAUCCGGGCACAUUUUUUAUAUAUCUAAGAAAGUUUUUUUAAUCAAAAUGUUUAGUGUUCAUUUAACCCCUCAAAGUUUAUACACGAUAUACGCACCCUAAAUUCAACAAUAUAUAUAUAUAUAUAUCAACAAUAAUUUUAAAGAACCUCAAAAUUAUUAGUCCAGCUUGUUAAUAAGAUAUCUUUAGAAUUUGUGUUCACUAAGAAACCUACAAAGCUCCUCAUGUACGAUGAAAAUGUAGAAGCUUUUGGAACGAUACGUUAGAAUACGUAAACGGAAUUAGUCAUCAUUUGUAUUGUAUACAGUGUUUUCUUUUUGGAUAAGAAGUUGUAUACUACUGGUUUCAAUUACUUGUAAGAUUUGACAUAUAAAACUCAGUUAACAAGGGGAAAUAAAGGUGCAAAAAACAACACAUACCUAAUUAAAAGAGAUGAAAAGAGUUAAAUAUAAAUAAUAUAUUUACAAAUAUCUAAAUCAUCAAAAUUAUGGAGUUAAGGAUACUUUGAAAAGAAAAAAAAAGUUUAUUUCUCUUAAUAAUUUAUUUAUUUCUAGAAAAAAAAUAAUCUUUCUUUUCUUUGCUUCCCUUGAUGGGACAUCUUUUGGAGAAUACAAAUAAAGUUCAGUAAACUGAAAAUGUAUGACAUCUUUGAUUAAAUGUAGGACGAGAACUCGAGAAGAGUAUAUAUGUUAGGGUUAACCAAAAAUAUUAAUUAAGAGAAAUAUAAGUCUUAUACUUAAUUUUAAACGGCUUGAGCUUAUUCGUUGGAACACAAAGUCUGUGUUUAAAACUUGAGGUUUAUGCAAAGACUGUGUAACUAGAAUAGACCAGUAAUAGUGUCGAACUAAAAAGUUGCCUUAUGAAGUGUCAUUUUGAUUAAGUGGAGUCUGUAGAUACAACUUAUAUAUAUAUAUAUAUAUAUAUAUAUCGUGUUUUAAAAGCUCAUAAUGCCACUAGAGUUUUUACCUAGUUUAACAACUUGACGGAAAUAGUAUUAGCAGUAUUACCUAAUUUGGUACAUGAUUAAGGUGUUAUACAGUAUAAUGUUGUUAUAUAUUGUUUUAUAUGGUGAGUUUCAGUUGAUGAUUAUGAGUUGUAAACUUAGAUUGCAAAUAUAUAGUUGCAUUUUUAGAAGAAAACUUAAAAAAUGAAGAAGAAGAUAACAAUCACAACACAAAUCUCAUGAAUGGGAGAGAAGGCAAUGGAGCUAUUCAAGGAAAUGAUAUAAGUAGUGGUAACUCAGGGAUGGAACCAAACAAGAGCACUUUCAUAAGCCUAUUGUCAGCUUGCAGCCACUCUGGGUUUAUAGAUGAAGGUCUAAGAUAUUACAACCAAAUGGAGAAAAAAUUUGGGGUUAAACCAGUUACCGAGCAUCGUGUUUGUAUCUGUUGAUGGGUUUGACAAAACCAACAAAAUCUGGCCCAUUAAAGCCCAUACGAAAUUGACAUGAGGAGAAAGAAUAAUAAAAGUGGCCCAUCAAAUACUCUUAUAUAUCUCUCUACCUGGGAUUAGAGAUAGAGGUGGUAGGUGCGAGACAAGACAAGCUAAAGAGAGUUCUAGAAAAGAGAGAUACAAGAGCUUCCUAAGCAAGCUUUCUUCUUCCUCUUAGUUGUUUUUGAAUCUUGUUCUUCUUGUGUGAAAAAUUUGUAAAACCAAAACAUCGGUGGUAGGUUUGUAACCUCUUUGAGAUAGUGAAGCUUUGGAAACAAGAAAUCUCCCCAAGACGUAGCAGUUGAUCUUCCCCAAAAUAAGCUAAUAAUGAAAAGGAAAAAUUUAAAAACUUGAAGAAAAUAUUAUUAGUCACACAAAAAUUUCAUUAAAUCUUUUUUGAAGUAACCCGCACAAAGUUGUGUUAUAAUAAAAAAAAAGGGACAACGAUGUAUUUCCCCUCAUAACUUUCAUAUAGCAUUACUUCCACCCAAAGUUUCACGCCCUCUCUAUUUCUCCCCAGAAGCAUAGUUCUACAGUUAUUUCCCCCAGAUAUAAAGUUAAAAACCUAUUUCAACAUAUAAUGAAAGUUCGAAACUAAUUUUCACAUAGAGCUAGGUUAAUGUUGGUUUACUGUAGACUAAUCUAGUUUUAACCAAUAUAAACGAACUUAAACCAAACCUAAACCAAUUUAACUCUAACCCCAGACCCGAUUAAAUCCCCAAAUCAUAAAAUCCCUCAAAUUAGAAAUAUCCCUAAAUCAAAAACCCUUCCUCACGAACACUAGUUGCGAGAAGAAAGUUACCCGAAACCUCUAAUUGCAAGUUCAUUGAUCUUCGUCUAUGUCAGUUCUAGAGAUCGAGAUGAACAAUGUUCCUAUUGAUGAGGAACCCGAUGAUGAAGAUCAAGAAGACCAAACCGCACGAAAUGAUUUCAACAUCGAGCAAGUAGUAAUCGAUUUCAUCGAUGAGCCGUGUAUUCGUCACGAUGUCAUUCCCGACAGUGACAGUGAUGAAGACGACGAUGUUCAACGGGGUAGAGAUCGUAACGAGAUCAUACGUGGUGAUGGGAAUUUGUACAUGGACCAAGUGUUCUACAAUAAAAUCGCGUUUAAAGAAGUUGUCCUUGACUACGCUCUUCGAUUAGGUAGGAAUAUCAGACAGUGCAGGUAUGAUAAAACAAAGCUUGGGUAUCGUUGUAAUGUUGAUGUUUGCAGAUGGCGUAUCUAUUGCUCUGUUAGUUCUAAGUCUGAUAAGUGGCAAGUUACAAGAUUUAUUGAAAAGCAUAGUUGUACGUUAAUGGGGAGUGUGAGCUUAUUAGAGUGCCAGUGAUUGCAAGAUUGUUUCUUGACAAGAUUCGAGAUGAACCUGUUUACUUUAUGCCAAUGAAGAUUGAAGAACUGUUAAUGAAAAAAUGGAAGAUUAGUGUAUUGAGGCCUCAAUGCCAAGAUGCUAGGCUUAAAGCUUUGAAAUGGAUUGAUAAAGAAUAUGAUGAGCAAUUUGCACGGAUUUGAGAUUUUGGUGCUGAGAUAGAAGAAUCAAAUUCGGGUUCUACGGUGGAAAUUGAUACGCUGACAAAUGAGAAUGGUGAGGAUGAAUUCAAUAGAUGCUACGUGUGCUUUGACAGUCUUAGAAGAACAUGGAAGGAGUCUUGUAGGCCAAUAUUAGGAGUAGAUGGUUGUUUCGUAAGAGAAAAAACCAAAGGUCAGCUGUUGGUAGCUUUAGGGCGAGACGCGGACAACGCUAUAUAUCCAGUGGCAUGGGGCAUUUUCCAAGUGGAGAAUGACCCUAAUUGGUUAUGGUUUGUGAACAAGAUUAAAGCUGAUUUAGGACUAAAAGAUGGUGAAGGAUACAUAUUGGUCUCGGAUCGUCAAAAAGUAUUAAUGUUUAUAUUGGUUACUACUUUGUUUUCUACUAUAUUUAUCUACUUUAACUUGUGGUUCUGUUAUAGGGAUUGAUUAGAGCUGUGGAGAUAGAGUUACCUCAUAUUGAACAUAGGAUGUGUGUGAGACACAUAUAUGGGAAUUUAAAGGCAAAUCAUGGUAAGAAAUCACAGAUGAAGCCGUUUAUCUGGAAUCUAGCAUGGAGUUACAAUGAGGCUGAGUAUAGAGAAAACCUGGAGAAAUUGAAGCAGUAUGAUAUGUAGUGUAGAGCUUUCUACAAAAUUGGCCACUAUGUUGAAGAUGUUGAGAACAACUCCACAUAAUCAUUUAAUAACACGAUAGUCAAAGCAAGAGAGAAGCCACUGGUACCUAUGUUAGAAAAUGAUUGCUCGACUUGCCAUGGUACGUAUUGCCAAAAGAAGUGUUAAAUCUCAUGAUCACAAGGGUUUAUGUACACCAUAUGCGGAAGAAUAUCUUGCAAAAGAGCUUGAAGAUGCUGCAGAAGUUAAGGUUCACAGAAGUACAAAUAAGAUGUUAUGCAUUGUGGGGUAUGUGGUGCGGCUAAUCACAACUCUAGGUUUCAUAAGAAGAAGAAAGAGGUUUGUGUUCCAUAAUCUAAUGUGUCUAUGUACUAUGUUUUAUGUGCUUUGUUUAGUUCUUUUAUUUAUGUUGUUAUUACAGUUUCCUCAAGGUGAACCUUCUCAAUGAACUGUUACGCAGAAAAUGAGCUUGAACUGAGUUUGGAGAUAGGGUAGAAGAAGCUUUUGGUCUGUUUUUUGUAAAAACUUUUGGUCUGUUUUUAGGGUCUGUUUUUCAUUCUUCUCAAUUGUUUUUGUUAUGUUAUUGCUCUGAGACAAAGCAUAGACAAAGAUUCUGUUUGAGUUUAUUUUUUUGAUAAUAGUGAGAUCAGUUUAGACAAAGAUUGUAAGCCUUGUUUUUGAGUUCCUCAUUGAUGUAUCAAUUAAAUAUUAAUUAAAUAUAUAUAUAUUUCAAAAACUUGAAGAAAAUAUUAUUAGUCACACAAAAAUUUCAUUAUAACUCUUUUGAAAUAACCCGCACAAAGUUGUUAUAAUAAAAAAAAACAACUAAAACUUUCUGGCCUUCUAAUUAUAAAGGUGAUUCUUGCUUCUGUUCUGAGACUGAGUGACAAUUAACAUUUUCUUAUAAAGGAUAAUAAUAAAGUUCUUAGUAAACCAAUAGGGCUUGUAUGAUAUCUGCCAGGCCCAGCCCAAUAAGAGACUCGCUAGCCUUUAUACAGAUAGACGCAGAGGAAUUGCGGCGCAGUUGUAACCCUAGAUUCACAAAGUCUCUCAUCCGGUGCCGACGAAACCAUGUCCGAUACCGACGAGACCAUGUCCGUGUUUGACAAAUAUGUGUCCGAUAAUUCGCUGUCCUCCGCCGAAACCAUUGAUCCGAUCGAAAAAUACCUAAGUAAGAUCUCUCUCUCUCUCUCAUCUUAGUCGAAAUUGUUUGUCUAUGAUCUGGAUUAGCUUUCAUCUGAUCGAUCUGUCAUUAGUAAACUAGCGUAUAUCUAAUCGUCGAUCUGCCAUAGUAAAUCCCUUUAUUAUAACUUAUUUUAUUCACGUUCUGAAUUUUUUUUCCGUCUCGAAACCUGGCAGAUGCUGACGCAUGCAUCUUUUGGGACAUGGGGAGUUACCCAAUCCCUAAUGGUGUGGAUCCUUGUUUUGUACUAAAGAAAAUCAAAUCAGAGCUCGCGGAUAUAGGUUGUCGUGUGGAUGUGUCUAUCCACGCUUACGGUAAUAAUGUCUCGGAUGGUGAAUUACUAUCUGCAGCUGCCGGAAUCAAAUUCGAUCUCUUACCCGAAGGUGAUAUUAUUCUCCUUCUCUGUUUAUUUUUUUGACAUAUACAUGUCGUCCCUAAUCUAGAUCUCUGUUGAUGUACUUUCCAGGAGAUAAAGACGCGGGAAUUUAUUCCAUGUUAGUGGACAUGUUCCAAUGGGCACUGAAAAGUUCUUCAACAAGAAAUUUGAUUGUCCUCUCAAAAAACAUGGAUAAUCCAGACGUGCUGAAACAUUUUGACUCUUUGUGGAGGUGGAAAUGUGGUCUUAUAUUAUCACCAACAUGGGUACCUGAAGUGUUGAUGGAGGAAACCGCUCACAACGUCUUUGACCAGAACAAGCGGAAAGCAGAUACUCUUGCUGAUUCUGAUCACCCAUCUAAAACCCGUAAAGUCACAACAGAGUACAUCUCAUCAUCUGCAGCGCCUAAUAUUUUUCUCGGUAACUCGGCUGAAACCAUGUCCAGAUUAUUCCCCAUUCCCACCACCGCUCGUGAAAUGUGUAAGUUGUAUCCCUUGCUCGAAAUUGUUUGA
This 33549-nucleotide long non-coding RNA is filed under the name Arabidopsis lyrata. RNAcentral's name for it is "long non-coding RNA (ALYR_LNC000858)". The record is from RNAcentral. Lineage: Eukaryota; Viridiplantae; Streptophyta; Magnoliopsida; Brassicales; Brassicaceae.